This 484-nucleotide ribosomal RNA is filed under the name uncultured bacterium. RNAcentral's name for it is "partial 16S ribosomal RNA". It matches the Rfam family "Bacterial small subunit ribosomal RNA", at positions 30 to 507 of the family's 1533-position model. The record is from RNAcentral.
AUUGAACGCUGGCGGCAUGCCUUACACAUGCAAGUCGAACGGCAGCACGGGAGUAAUCCUGGUGGCGAGUGGCGAACGGGUGAGUAAAGCAUCGGAACGUGCCCAGUCGUGGGGGAUAACGUAGCGAAAGCUACGCUAAUACCGCAUACGAUCUGUGGAUGAAAGCGGGGGACCGUAAGGCCUCGCGCGAUUGGAGCGGCCGAUGUCAGAUUAGGUAGUUGGUGAGGUAAAGGCUCACCAAGCCGACGAUCUGUAGCUGGCCUGAGAGGACGACCAGCCACACUGGGACUGAGACACGGCCCAGACUCCUACGGGAGGCAGCAGUGGGGAAUUUUGGACAAUGGGCGCAAGCCUGAUCCAGCAAUGCCGCGUGCAGGAUGAAGGCCUUCGGGUUGUAAACUGCUUUUGUACGGAGCGAAAAGGCUUCCACUAAUACUGGGGGCUCAUGACGGUACCGUAAGAAUAAGCACCGGCUAACUACGUG